UAGUAAAAAUUUCAUCAAUUUCUACUGUUAAAAACUAGUGUUGGUGACAGAAUAAUCAGAUAAUGAUAUGUGAUGUGCUAUGCGUACCUCAUUUUGACAUAUAUUGACCAAAUUUUAAUUAUUAAAAUAGAUGAAAUUUUCAAUA
This is a non-coding RNA of Gossypium hirsutum (cotton), 145 nucleotides long. The record is from Rfam. Lineage: Eukaryota; Viridiplantae; Streptophyta; Magnoliopsida; Malvales; Malvaceae.